UACGUAGGUGGCUAGCGUUGUCCGGAUUUACUGGGCGUAAAGAGCGCGCAGGCGGUCGUUCAAGUCGAGUGUGAAAGCCCCCGGCUCAACUGGGGAGGGUCACUCGAUACUGAUCGACUUGAAGGCGGGAGAGGGAAGCGGAAUUCCCGGUGUAGUGGUGAAAUGCGUAGAUAUCGGGAGGAACACCAGUGGCGAAGGCGGCUUUCUGGCCCAUUCUUGACGCUGAGGCGCGAAAGCUAGGGUAGCAAACGGG
RNAcentral lists this ribosomal RNA (253 nucleotides) under uncultured bacterium. RNAcentral describes it as "partial 16S ribosomal RNA". It matches the Rfam family "Bacterial small subunit ribosomal RNA", at positions 524 to 776 of the family's 1533-position model. The record is from RNAcentral.